GAUGAACGCUGGCGGCGUGCCUAAUACAUGCGAGUCGAGCGAACAGAUAAGGAGCUUGCUCCUUUGACGUUAGCGGCGGACGGGUGAGUAACACGUGGAUAACCUACCUAUAAGACUGGGAUAACUUCGGGAAACCGGAGCUAAUACCGGAUAACAUAUUGAACCGCAUGGUUCAAUAGUGAAAGGCGGCUUUGCUGUCACUUAUAGAUGGAUCCGCGCCGUAUUAGCUAGUUGGUAAGGUAACGGCUUACCAAGGCAACGAUACGUAGCCGACCUGAGAGGGUGAUCGGCCACACUGGAACUGAGACACGGUCCAGACUCCUACGGGAGGCAGCAGUAGGGAAUCUUCCGCAAUGGGCGAAAGCCUGACGGAGCAACGCCGCGUGAGUGAUGAAGGUCUUCGGAUCGUAAAACUCAGUUAUCAGGGAAGAACAAAUGUGUAAGUAACUGUGCACAUCUUGACGGUACCUGAUCAGAAAGCCACGGCUAACUACGUG
Molecule: ribosomal RNA, 497 nt
Filed under: uncultured bacterium
Lineage: Bacteria
Description: partial 16S ribosomal RNA
Rfam family: Bacterial small subunit ribosomal RNA
Source: RNAcentral